Molecule: ribosomal RNA, 403 nt
Filed under: uncultured Methanosaeta sp.
Lineage: Archaea; Methanobacteriati; Methanobacteriota; Methanomicrobia; Methanotrichales; Methanotrichaceae
Description: bacterial SSU rRNA
Rfam family: Archaeal small subunit ribosomal RNA
Source: RNAcentral
ACCGACAGCAAUAUGAAGGCCAGGCUGAAGACUUUGCCGGAUUAGCUGAGAGGUGGUGCAUGGCCGUCGUCAGUUCGUACUGUGAAGCAUCCUGUUAAGUCAGGCAACGAGCGAGACCCACGCCCACAGUUGCCAGCGUACUCUCUGGAGUGACGGGUACACUGUGGGACCGCCGCUGCUAAAGCGGAGGAAGGAAUGGGCAACGGUAGGUCAGUAUGCCCCGAAUAUCCCGGGCUACACGCGAGCUACAAUGGUUGGUACAAUGGGUAUCUACCCCGAAAGGGGACGGGAAUCUCCUAAAACCAAUCUUAGUUCGGAUUGAGGGCUGCAACUCGCCCUCAUGAAGCUGGAAUCCGUAGUAAUCGCGUUUCAACAGAACGCGGUGAAUACGUCCCUGCUCCUU